RNAcentral lists this ribosomal RNA (450 nucleotides) under uncultured bacterium. RNAcentral's name for it is "bacterial SSU rRNA". It matches the Rfam family "Bacterial small subunit ribosomal RNA", at positions 354 to 796 of the family's 1533-position model. The record is from RNAcentral.
GUGGGGAAUAUUGGACAAUGGGCGAAAGCCUGAUCCAGCCAUGCCGCGUGUGUGAAGAAGGUCUUCGGAUUGUAAAGCACUUUAAGUUUGGAGGAAGGGUAGUAACCUAAUACGUUGCUACUUUGACGUUACCGACAGAAUAAGCACCGGCUAACUUCGUGCCAGCAGCCGCGGUAAUACGAAGGGUGCAAGCGUUAAUCGGAAUUACUGGGCGUAAAGCGCGCGUAGGUGGUUUUGUAAGUUGGAGGUGAAAUCCCCGGGCUCAACCUGGGAACUGCCUCCAAAACUGCAUGACUAGAGUACGGUAGAGGGUAGUGGAAUUUCCUGUGUAGCGGUGAAAUGCGUAGAUAUAGGAAGGAACACCAGUGGCGAAGGCGACUACCUGGACUGAUACUGACACUGAGGUGCGAAAGCGUGGGGAGCAAACAGGAUUAGAUACCCUUGUAGUCC